CACCGCGGUUAUACGAGAGGCCCGAGUUGAUAGAUGACGGCGUAAAGGGUGGUUAGGGGUUAACAUUAAUUAAAGCCAAAGACCUACCGAGCUGUCAUACGCACCCGAAGGCACGAAGCCCAAAUACGAAAGCAGCUUUAUCUCCCCCCGACCCCACGAAAGCUAAGGAA
RNAcentral lists this ribosomal RNA (170 nucleotides) under Salminus cf. brasiliensis CBM:ZF:12574. RNAcentral's name for it is "partial 12S rRNA". Lineage: Eukaryota; Metazoa; Chordata; Actinopteri; Characiformes; Bryconidae. The record is from RNAcentral.